UUCGGGUGCGUUAAUGGGCGUCGAGCGGCGGACGGGUGAGUAAUGCCUAGGAAAUUGCCUUGAUGUGGGGGAUAACCAUUGGAAACGAUGGCUAAUACCGCAUAAUGCCUACGGGCCAAAGAGGGGGACCUUCGGGCCUCUCGCGUCAAGAUAUGCCUAGGUGGGAUUAGCUAGUUGGUGAGGUAAUGGCUCACCAAGGCGACGAUCCCUAGCUGGUCUGAGAGGAUGAUCAGCCACACUGGAACUGAGACACGGUCCAGACUCCUACGGGAGGCAGCAGUGGGGAAUAUUGCACAAUGGGCGAAAGCCUGAUGCAGCCAUGCCGCGUGUAUGAAGAAGGCCUUCGGGUUGUAAAGUACUUUCAGUUGUGAGGAAGGGUGUGUAGUUAAUAGCUGCRYAUCUUGACGUUAGCAACAGAAGAAGCACCGGCUAACUCCGUGCCAGCAGCCGCGGUAAUACGGAGGGUGCGAGCGUUAAUCGGAAUUACUGGGCGUAAAGCGCAUGCAGGUGGUUCAUUAAGUCAGAUGUGAAAGCCCGGGGCUCAACCUCGGAACUGCAUUUGAAACUGGUGAACUAGAGUGCUGUAGAGGGGGGUAGAAUUUCAGGUGUAGCGGUGAAAUGCGUAGAGAUCUGAAGGAAUACA
Molecule: ribosomal RNA, 643 nt
Filed under: Vibrio sp.
Lineage: Bacteria; Pseudomonadati; Pseudomonadota; Gammaproteobacteria; Vibrionales; Vibrionaceae
Description: bacterial SSU rRNA
Source: RNAcentral